ACAUAAUAAUAUUACUAUUAUAUUCUAUUAUGUUCCAAAUAUUAUUAUUAAAUUUUAAAUAUUAUUAUUAUAUUUUAAAGGAAAAAUUUUAAAAAUUUUCUAUGUGGUUUCGUACUUUUUCAUUUUAGUAUUCUGUAGUUUAAAAUAUAUCAAGUUAGUACUCUGUGGUUUCGCACUUUUUCACUUUAGUACCCUGUGGUUUAAAGUGUAUCAAGUUAGUACUCUGUGGUUUUAUUUUUAUAUCAAGUUACUAUCCUGUGGUUUUAUUUUUGUAUCAAGUUAGUAAUCUAUGGUUUAAAAACCACAUGGUAUUAAAGUGAGAAAGUGCGAAAGCAUAGGGUACUAAUAAAGUGAGAAAGUGCGAAACCACAGGGUACUAAAGUUAAAAAGUGCAAAACUAUAGAGUACUAAUUUGAUACACUUUAAACCAUAUGGUACUAAAGUGAAAAAAAGUGAAACACAAGGGGGUAUUUGAAGUUUC
This 481-nucleotide long non-coding RNA is filed under the name Ananas comosus (pineapple). RNAcentral's name for it is "long non-coding RNA (ACOM_LNC043747)". Lineage: Eukaryota; Viridiplantae; Streptophyta; Magnoliopsida; Poales; Bromeliaceae. The record is from RNAcentral.